GACGAACGCUGGCGGCGUGCUUAACACAUGCAAGUCGAACGGAAAGGCCCUGCUUUUGUGGGGUGCUCGAGUGGCGAACGGGUGAGUAACACGUGAGUAACCUGCCCUUGACUUUGGGAUAACUUCAGGAAACUGGGGCUAAUACCGGAUAGGAGCUCCUGCUGCAUGGUGGGGGUUGGAAAGUUUCGGCGGUUGGGGAUGGACUCGCGGCUUAUCAGCUUGUUGGUGAGGUAGUGGCUUACCAAGGCUUUGACGGGUAGCCGGCCUGAGAGGGUGACCGGCCACAUUGGGACUGAGAUACGGCCCAGACUCGUACGGGAGGCAGCAGUGGGGAAUAUUGCAGAAUGGGCGGAAGCCUGAUGCAGCAACGCCGCGUGCGGGAUGACGGCCUUCGGGUUGUAAACCGCUUUGGCCUGUGACGAAGCGUGAGUGACGGUAAUGGGUAAAGAAGCACCGGCUAACUACGUG
This 468-nucleotide ribosomal RNA is filed under the name uncultured bacterium. RNAcentral's name for it is "partial 16S ribosomal RNA". It matches the Rfam family "Bacterial small subunit ribosomal RNA", at positions 28 to 507 of the family's 1533-position model. The record is from RNAcentral.